CAAAUCAGUGUUGGAACUACCGCCGGGGCAGCUGGAGACACGAUUUGUGGGAUUAUCAGGUGGCCUAUGCACUUAGGUAUGCGCUAUGGCCCUUUAACGGCGUAACCGGGCCCUUUUUUUUAUCAUAGUGAAGGUAGGAACUGAGAGCCUGUUCGGCGAUGGGGUAGCUAUAUACAUUUCCUUCCCAGGUGCCAGGUAACC
This is a non-coding RNA of Pelobates cultripes (western spadefoot toad), 201 nucleotides long. Lineage: Eukaryota; Metazoa; Chordata; Amphibia; Anura; Pelobatidae. The record is from the annotation of a GenBank genome assembly.